AUGAACGCUGGCGGCGUGCCUAAUACAGGCAAGUCGGGCGAACAGACGAGGAGUUUGCUCCUCUGACGUUAGCGGCGGACGGGUGAGUAACACGUGGAUAACCUACCUAUAAGACUGGGUUAACUUCGGGAAACCGGAGCUAAUACCGGAUAAUAUAUUGAACCGCAUGGUUCAAUAGUGAAAGAUGGGUUUGCUGGCACUUAGUGAUGGAUCCGCGCCGCAUUAGCUAGUUGGUAAGGUAACGGCUUACCAACGCAACGAUGCUUAGCCGACCUGAGUGUGUGAUAGGCGACACUGGAUGUGCGACACGGUCCAUCCUCCUACGGCAGGCAGCAGUAGCGAAUAUUCCGCACAGGGCGCGAGCCUGACCGACCACUGCCGCGUAAGUGAUGAUGAUCCUAGGUUCGUAACAAUCUGUUAUUAGCGAGAAACAAAUGUGUACUUAAAUGUGCACGUAUUGACGGUACCUAAUCAAAAAGCCCCGGCUAACUACGUG
Molecule: ribosomal RNA, 496 nt
Filed under: uncultured bacterium
Lineage: Bacteria
Description: partial 16S ribosomal RNA
Rfam family: Bacterial small subunit ribosomal RNA
Source: RNAcentral